AUGACACCGGGUGUGGACCAGCCUCCAAGACAUAAGCAGAGGAUUAAACACCAGGCGAACUACUAAAAGCCAAAAAAAAAAAAAAAAAAAGCUUUCUUCUUUCAACAGAUGCCAGAAAAGCAUUUGAUAAAGUCCAACAACGUCCAUGACUCUUAAAAACCCAGAGACGAGGGCGAGGCUCAGAUCUCACCGCGACAAAGAACAGCCCCAAUCAGCAGGGCGCAAUCCUGGUUUCACAGCGAAACCCUCUGGCAGUGUCUGCGGGGCCGGUGCUCCCGGGCUCGGCCAGGAAGGGAUUACGGGACCCAGACGGCAUCUGGAAGACACGGCUGUGGGAGGCCCGCCCUUUAAUGCCAGCUGCAGGGCGAUGAUACCUCUCAUCGCCGGCGGAUGAGGGCAGGAGCCGGGCCAGGAUGGAGCGCGGCUCUUGGAAAGGAGGCCGCACACUGACGUCUUCAAGUGGAAUCACGUUCAUCUUGGUUUCCAGAGAGACGCCCUGAGAAGUAAUUAGAAGCAGUAAGACGGGGGUGGUCUCCACACGGCGUGCAGCCUGCGGUUGGAGAUCUGUUGAUUCUGUUCGGGCCCGUGGGCCCCGGCCACGGCACGGUGUUCGUCCCCAAGGAUGGCAAGGCGUUCAGGUCCUGUCAAGCCAAGUGCCGUAAAGAACCUGCCGAGGAGGCGCGGUCCUGGCGAGGUCAGGCGGAGCAGCCCAGCCGGUGAAGCCCUCACCGUGCAGAUCUCAUUUAAAUGUGUCGAGCUGAAUGGACGGCGGAAGGUUGGAGAAAGAUCAAGAACGACAGAAAGUUCAGGGCGUCGGAGUCCGGCGAACACACCUCCUCCGGCCCCCUCUGCGAGGGAAGCCGCCGGAAGACACAGUCAUCCGGAAGCUGCAAGAGGAUGUGGACGUGGAAGUUGUUCUGACGAUCGUAACUGUUUAACCGUUUCUGCGAGCCCGUUGGAAAGUCUCCGUUAGAGAUUAGAGCGCCUGUGGGUUGGUUUAUUUUUUCACCUGAGAUGAUUCAAAUGAAAAGAAACAUCUUUUUAAAAAUGCAUCUCUCUACAUUACUAUCUGCAAAAGUCAGACAAUAUGGAUGGAGGAUUGCAUCUCAGUGUUAAACCUUUGCUGACAGACAUGCUGUGUAAAUCAGGAAAAUGCUGCAGAUACAGAGUGAACUGUGGACACAGAAUGACCAUGCCGCCGGGGUAACGGCACCGGCAGCGUUUAUGUGAUAACACACCUGGCACCGAGGGCCCAGGGUCGACGGGAAGCACAUGCUCCUUCACACCCUUGCCUGCACGCUGCUCCCUGCAGACAGCGCCGUUGCUGGUGUCUGUGUGUGUCUGUUCUUGCUCUGCACAGAUGAGUAUGUAUUUUUGCAAAGAAAACCUGCUAAUAGCUGCCA
Molecule: long non-coding RNA, 1403 nt
Organism: Myotis lucifugus (little brown bat)
Lineage: Eukaryota; Metazoa; Chordata; Mammalia; Chiroptera; Vespertilionidae
Exons: 2
Source: RefSeq, a predicted model, not a curated record